UCAGCAAUGACGUGACUGAUUACUCAAAUUUCUUGUGAUGUUGCUGUAAUGAUAGCAUUUAUGACCGUGUAUAUGACUCACUUGUAGAUUAUAUGUGCUAGAGGGCGGGGAGUGUGUGUGUGUUUGAAAGAGAAGAAAAACCAACAGGUAUUCACAGGUCUCUGCUUUCCUUCCCUUCCCCUUUUUGUUGUAGAUUCCCCCACUGAAAGUGCAACUAAACUUAAUUCUUGUUGAACAAGAAUACUAGGGCUAAUCGUCAAGAAAAGCAAUCUCACUUUUUUGGAACCAAUUGGGUCGGCGGAUUUUUUUUCCAGGUGUGAACGGUAAAGAGAUCUGCUUCCUCCUUCCUGACCUCAACUUCCCAGACCACAAUGGAAACUCACCCCCAACCCCAGCCAAGAGGUAUCGACUACAGCCUACCCACCUGCGGAGAGCUCCAAUGCCAUGGCAAAGGUGUUUGUGUGCUUCCCCCUGGUGGCGGCUCUGGCUAUGCUUGCGAGUGUAACCUGGGCUAUCAGGGCAAAUCCUGUGAGAGAACAUUUAACGGGUCACUUAGCCUCCCGCUGACCUUGGGCGUGCUGGCAGUUCUCUUCGGUUUGAUCAUCCUGGCUUUCAUCUUAGCCAAAUUGCGACAGAAGCAAAAACGGAGGAAGAGGGACUUGAUGCAGCAACAGGUGAAACAAGUUCUGUGUGAAGCUGGUCUCUCACACUAACACCAGAGGCGAAUUUGAGAACCUUCAUCAAACAUUCAUCUUCUGCAACUGGCUUUAUUCCAGCGUUAAAAUGAACUAACGUGGACCUUUUUGUUUCAAGGCUGACCCUUCAACCCAAAUGCUGAAUUAAGCUUUCGUACUGUGACUGAUUUGGCUGUCUAUUUCUGACAUUGGUAAUGAAAUGACACUGCCAGAUAACUUAUCUAUUCAAAGCCAACUGGAAGUCAAGUUGUAUCUAUUUAUCUAUAUUUUCAUAUGAAAAAUAUGUCUGCAUAUUGCUGUUGUAUAGUGUGUGGUACAUUUGAUGGCCCACACACCAACCAUAACCGUAUCGCCACGGCAAUUAGCUAGAGUUGAGGGUUUAUUGUGUGUGUUUUGUUUGCCAUUUCUGGUGCCAAGAAAAUUUUAAACUGUCAAUUCUGCUUGGAUUGAUACAAUCAAAACACAAAUUUAUGAAAAGUUUUUGUUGCCAGGUGAAUUUACCACUGAAGAUGCAAGCCUGUAAAAGUUACACUUAUAGGGCACUUGUAUUCACAAAAAAAAAAAAAAAGAAAAUCACAAAAAAAUAAGACUACAAUGUUAACACUUAAAGCAGAAAAAUAAUAAAAUAUUAGGAAAGCCAGUCCAUCAAUUAUUCUUGGGUAGGGGUAACGAACUCCCUUCAAGAGCUCCCGCCCUGCUCGUUUUCCAUGUCUCCGUCCUUUAACGCACCUGAAUCAAAUGAUCAGCAAGCUCUGCCCGAACGGUCCUGAUUGAGUCAGGUGUGUUGAAGGAGGGAGACAUGGAAAACCAGCUGGAUAGGGGCUCUCGAGGACCGUAGUUUGAUACCUCUGUUCUGAAGGCAUUGAGUCAAUCGAAACUGGACUUUUCUGGUUGUCUUAUCAUAGGCCACAUCAUAGUUAUCGUUUCAUUUGACAUUCAGUCAUAUAGACAACUAUUGGAUUAGCAAAUGAAUUGACAAAUUAAUAGUCAAUUAAUAGUUUAUAGAUAUUAACUAAAAAUUGUCUAAAUCUUUUUUUAGAGCCUGAUAGAAAAUAUUCGUAUAUUUUCUGAUAAAGGAAACUGGGUAUUUGUAGUUCAGAAAAAAAGGAAAAACAUUUUUCAACUUAAUAUGAAAGGAAAAUGCAUUAUUUUCUAAAUCGGAAAAUGGUACAAAAUCUUUUGAUUUCUGCAGUCCUCGAUCCUUUAUUAAGGCCCCUAGAAAUUGUAUUUGAAUUCUAUUUUGGCGAGAAACAUGAAGCUGGCGAACAUGUGAGCGACAAAACGAUGUGGUAAACCGGAAUUUACGGUGCCCCUAAAGCAGUACUUCUCCCCCAGGGGGACGCAGAGGGAUGCCAGGGGUGGUGCAUGUGACCUUGGGGAACAUAUUUGCCGUACUAAAAUAAAAUAUGAUUGCACAUCCACUCAGUGGGUGGCACGCUAAGACGAGGAAAUAUGAUGAAGUGUAUGUAGCGUUAGGCUUUGAAUUUUAAAACUGUGGGAGACUGAGAAAGACCAGUCUGUUUACUUUAUCUAAAUAUGUUUGCAGCGGACAGCGGGGAGCCGAAUCAAUUACGACGUCGUUCGCAAUCACAUUAUUAAGCCACGAAAAUGUGCCGAAUAUUGCCAGCAAUCGUCCUGCUUUGUUAGUGUUACGUCAGAAAAGCAGGGGGCACUGUUAGCAUCAUAUAAGGUGGAAUACCAAGUUACUCGGGGCAAAAUGACCACCGCAGCAUAGAAAAGGAGCUGAUACUGCCUGUAGCAAAAAUAAAAACUGCCCUCUGUCCUAUUACUUUUUUGUUCUAUGUUUUUUUCAGUCAAAUUGUUAGGCAUAUUGUCCUCAUGAGUUAAUGUUGCCAAUCAAUUUGAAUUAUUAUUUUAUUAAAUUUUAUUUUUCAGUACCAUAUGGUCAAAAAAUGUACCUUGAGUGUAUUUUUAGUUUGGAUAUGACUUUAUUUUUUCAUUCAGGAAUAUUGUUGCGCUUUUUCUUUUCUGUUACAAACAAAACAAUGUUAAUAAAGUUGUACUUUAUUGUUAAUCUAUAUUACCUUUUUUAAAAAAUGUAAUAUUAAAAAGGACGCAAUGUUAUGCAGAGGUGUACUUAUAAUAAUUUUGUAGACAAAUUAUACUAUUUACUCUGGGGGCAGAGAGUUAGUGGGGGCACGAAACGUUUGUCUUCCUGGAUGUGGGCAUAACAGAAAAUGAUUGAGAAGCACUGCCCUAAAGGGAAUCGACAGAAAUUUGAGCAUCCGGAUUGCUUUAAUUUUAUUUCUGUUGAUCUCACUUUAGGGACUCCGUAGGAUCUGGCCCUUGGGCCUCAGGUUUGACACCUGAGACUUCGAUCAUUUAACAAGAUGUACUGUCUUAACUACGCCCUGUAGAAUGAAGAGAAGUGAAAUAUCCUUCAAAACAACCAGAAAAGUCCAGUUGUGAUCGAUUUAAUGCCGUGAGAAUCAAAUGAACUUGAAAAAUGAGAAUAUUUACAAGCAAUCCACUCUUUAAAUAUGAAUAUUUACAAAAUAAUAAAACAGUAUACUUAUUUUUUUGACAAUGUAGUCCUUGACUAAGCUUGCGUCUCUGUUAUGGGCCUGCUCGUACCCGCCCAGCUAUUAACACACUGUUCUCCAAACUUUGCCUCUUUUGUUCGCUUGGAUUGCAGGGCAAAGCAUUGGAUGUAAAAAAAUCGCUAGACUAGUUUUAGUGCCCAACCUUAACAAUCACGUCUCAUCCCCAAGACCAACAUUCUCAAAAAAUGCAACUUAUGUUUAUAGCUUGCUUUAAAGAAGAUAGCCUCCUGGCCAUGGAAAAAGCGUGAACGCACUUUAUAUAGCAAACUAGGUGUCUUAUGUGAAAGUGUGACAAAACACUUGUCAAUUGGUCAACAAGUUGAGCAGCAUGAAAACUCGACCAAGAGAUUGUUUGGUUCCUUUCCUACCCUUCAAAGGUGGAAAUAUGUCCUCUUACCGUUUCAAUUCUUUGAGAGAAUACCAUUGUUUUAAUAGAUACCGCUCCAUUUGUCACUUUUUCACUGUGUUUGGCUGUUUUAUUAUUUACUGAAGUAAAUAGCGUCCAGGCUUCAUCAUGAAAAGUAAUGUAAUGUGUCAUUUGUUCUACUGUAAUUUACUGUCACUUCAAGCUAAGAAAAGAAUCCGUUACUGUGUGCUAAACAAACUUGGUUUCAUGCAAAGAGAGCUGGUUUGCAUUCUGAAUGUGCAGCACAAAGUGACAGCAGGUUUUAGACUAUUCAAUGGACUGCUGCAUCGCCUUGAGUGCCUUCUUAUUGUACAUAUAUAUACUUCUUUUAAGCUUAUAUGCACCUUAUGAGUUCAUGUUUAGUGAAAUGAUGUAAAAUAUUUCAAUAGAUGCACCAGAGUUAAUUCCCCUCUUGAAUGUUAUUACGCUAACUGUAGUAUAUAGAAAGUUGUGUCAUUUUGCACUUUGGAUAUCAAGUAAUAAAUCUGUUUUAAAACCUAAUUCAGAUGUUUCAUGUUAAUGUGUUAGGUUUUGUGUUGGUUUUCUCCUAGUGUGACUUUUCUCUGUGAUUGCCCAUUGAUUUCACCUGUUGUGACUUCUCCUAGUGUAACCUGCAAUCUGCAUCGUACUGUUACCCAGCUGUUCCUCG
Molecule: long non-coding RNA, 4314 nt
Organism: Corythoichthys intestinalis (scribbled pipefish)
Lineage: Eukaryota; Metazoa; Chordata; Actinopteri; Syngnathiformes; Syngnathidae
Exons: 4
Source: RefSeq, a predicted model, not a curated record